Molecule: non-coding RNA, 844 nt
Organism: Lonchura striata (white-rumped munia)
Lineage: Eukaryota; Metazoa; Chordata; Aves; Passeriformes; Estrildidae
Source: RefSeq, a predicted model, not a curated record
UCCCGCUUCCUCUUCCAGCGCCAGCCCGGCCGCGGCCCCUCCAUCCCCCGCGGGGCGGGGCCGGCGACGGGGAGGGGCUACCGGGCUACCUGGGCCUUCCGAGCCCUGCACCGCUCCGGCCGUGCCGGGGACGUGCCGGGAGGACCCUGGCCUCCGGCGCAGCGAGGGGAAGGUGUACCUUGGUUCUCGCUGACGAUACAAUCAAAGGUGGGCUCACAGUAGAGCAAGCUCUCACAAACGCCACCGCCAGACUGUCGAGUUUUUAUUUAAUUUUGUAAAUUCAAUGUCAUUGAUUAGGGCUCUUACGGCAAAGCUUGCUGUGAGGUAUGUUGUGCCUUCAAAUACACAAUGAUAGGCACGAAACAGGUUCGGGUGUAGCUGAGGUGGUGUAGGAAUUUACCACGUUUCAGUGCUUGUCUUCUCACAGGCUAACAGAUGUUCACCCCUUGUCAUAACUAGCUACUUCUUAACCUACUCUCAUCAAAAUGUUUUUAAUGCUUCUAGUAGGUUUCCCUUGAGUCUUACAAUUUUUACAGAAGCUAAUUUAAGAAGCAGUUCGAUUAAUAAGAUAACGCCUGAAACAAAACGGAAGACCUACCAGUUGAAUGCAACAAUCACAGAAACGAGGUGUUGUUGACUUAAUAGUUACAAAGUCAAUAUAAUGAUUUUUUUUUUUUUGGAAGAUUGUAGUUUUUUCUUAGAAAUGGCUCUUUGAGGUAAGGGUAUGAUUAAUGUACUAGACCUAUGAAUUACAGUCUUACUUUCACAGAACAAGAAUUAUUAAAGCAUGUGAUGUGCAGAUGUGUUUGCAAUACACAAAUAAAGGAAAAUGCUUCAAAAAUGU